Molecule: ribosomal RNA, 254 nt
Filed under: uncultured bacterium
Lineage: Bacteria
Description: partial 16S ribosomal RNA
Rfam family: Bacterial small subunit ribosomal RNA
Source: RNAcentral
UACGGAGGGUGCAAGCGUUAUCCGGAUUCACUGGGUUUAAAGGGUGCGUAGGUGGGCAGUUAAGUCAGUGGUGAAAUCUCCGGGCUCAACCCGGAAACUGCCAUUGAUACUAUCUGUCUUGAAUAUCGUGGAGGUAAGCGGAAUAUGUCAUGUAGCGGUGAAAUGCUUAGAUAUGACAUAGAACACCAAUUGCGAAGGCAGCUUACUACCCGAAUAUUGACACUGAGGCACGAAAGCGUGGGGAUCAAAACAGG